Molecule: non-coding RNA, 255 nt
Organism: Cinara cedri
Lineage: Eukaryota; Metazoa; Arthropoda; Insecta; Hemiptera; Aphididae
Source: the annotation of a GenBank genome assembly
UAUUUAUGUAAGUUAAAUGUGUUUAAUAAAUGUAUUCCAUUUAUCAAUGGAACAUUAUUAAUUUUUUCCAGUUCUUUAAUUUCAUCGUAUUUGUGCAAUCAUGUUAUUUUUGAUAUUCCAAAGAUGAAGAAAAAUUUAUAUGUGUAAUUCCUACAACAUUAAUUAUAAUAAUAAUAUAGGAGUAUACUGCCUUUGUAAGCAAGAAUGCUGUAAAUAACAAGUAUUAUUACUUCUAUGAGUUUUAUUAUCAUUGUU